RNAcentral lists this RNase P RNA (281 nucleotides) under Pseudomonadota bacterium. RNAcentral describes it as "partial RNase P RNA component class A". It matches the Rfam family "Bacterial RNase P class A", at positions 1 to 266 of the family's 367-position model. Rfam says of the family: Ribonuclease P (RNase P) is a ubiquitous endoribonuclease, found in archaea, bacteria and eukarya as well as chloroplasts and mitochondria. Lineage: Bacteria; Pseudomonadati; Pseudomonadota. The record is from RNAcentral.
GGAGUCGGCCAGGCAGUCGCGUCAUCCACGUGCACUUCGGUGCAGGCGGGUGCCGAGGAAAGUCCGGGCUCCACAGGGUACGGUGCCAGGUAACGCCUGGGCGGCGCGAGCCGACGGAAAGUGCAACAGAGAGCAGACCGCCGAACGGCGUCGCAAGACGUGCGUGGCAAGGGUGAAACGGUGCGGUAAGAGCGCACCGCGAGUCUGGCAACAGACCGGCACGGCAAACCCCACCGGGAGCAAGACCAAAUAGGGAGACGAUGCCGCGACCCGCGGUGUCU